Suricata suricatta (meerkat) is the source of this 872-nucleotide long non-coding RNA. RefSeq lists it as uncharacterized. The transcript has 2 exons. The record is from RefSeq and is a predicted model, not a curated record. Lineage: Eukaryota; Metazoa; Chordata; Mammalia; Carnivora; Herpestidae.
CCUAGGAGACACAGACCACUGUCCCUUGCUUCCUGCACACACCAUCACUGUGCAUCCACUGUCUGGUGACACAUGGCCCUCCCCUACUGGACUGUGAGUCCCUUGGAGCAGGGGCUGUGUUCCCAUCUGUGGUCUCCAUGCAACGUGCCUGGAACAGAGUAGGGAGCUCAGGGAUAUUUGAUGAGCACAUUUAAAGGAUGGAAAACAGAGGGAAGGGGUCCCUGCUUUCUGCAGCCCAGCUUUUGGGUUUCCUGCGAGCCACCCCAGGGGACGCGCCACCCCAGGUGCCUGGCAGGGCCCGUGUGUAAACACGUCUGGGGUGAAUGCCCACAGAUGCCUGAGAUGACAGAGGUAUGGGCCCAGAGGCGUGGCUCCAGCACGACUGUGAAAGCAGAUACUCCAAGGGCGGGGGAAGGCUGAGGACCAAAGUGUUCCAUGGGGCCAGAUUGGAAGCAUCCUGUAAACGCAGAUGUGUCUUCUAGAAAAGGCCUCCCUGCUGACACCCACCCUGCCACCCAACCCCCACAGGGACCGUCUCUUCCACCUGCCAAGACCCCUGCCUCAUGGGGCUAGAGAGUCCUGCUCCGUGCUGGGCACUGUGUGCUACCAGGGUUACAGCCAUGAGCAUCGCAAAAGGCCAGAGGUGAAUGAAUUCACGCAGCAGCUGCCCCCAGGGACAUGGAGUUUCACCACCAUCAAGGAGGCACAUGUGAGCAGACAGCCACCCAAUCAUCACCAUGGCAGAGUGCCCAGGGGCAGCAUGGCGGCCGUGGGGCCUGGCACCAGGCGUUCAGCUAAUCUGGCUUCAUUAUUGUGACAAUAGGACCCACCUCCUGUGGCUUUUGUGAGAAUAAACGGGACACUACCCAUGG